UUUGAUCCUGGCUCAGAUUGAACGCUGGCGGGAUGUUUACAUGUGCGUUUCGAACGGCAGCAUCGACUUCGGUCUGGUAGCGAGUGGCGAACGGGUGAGUAAUGUGGUCGGAACGUGCCUAGUAGCGAGGGUGAUAUCUACGCGAUAAAAGCAGAGCAUUACCGCAUACAGCCUUCGGGAAAAGUGGGGGACCUUCACCGCACUAUUAGAGAGCGGCCGAUAUCGAGAUUGAAGAAGGUGGGUAACGGUCACUGGCGACGAUCCGUAGCUGGUUUAUAAUGAACUGGCCACACUGGGAUCUGAGACGACGCUUCCAGACUCCUACGGGAGCGUGCAGUGGGGAAUUUUGGACAAUGGGGAAAACCUGAUCUCAGCCAUCCGCGUAGCGAUGAAGGCUUUCGGGUUGUAAAGCACUUUUGGCAGAAGAAACUGGCACGGGAUAACCCUGCAAAAAUCGACGCAAACGCAGACCGCGCACCGGCUAACCACGCAGCCAGCAGCCGCGGUAGCCGACAGGCGCGUGAAGCAAGACCCGGAAUUACUGGGCGUAAAGCGUGGCGUAGGGCGCGUCUGGGAGCAGCAUGUGAAAUCCCAGAGUUUAACUUGGAACUGCAUUUUUAACUACCGAGCUAGGAGUGCAAGUCGAGGAGGUAGGGAAUUCGCGGUAAGGGAAAUGCGUAGAUAUGCGGAGGAACACCGAUGGCGAAGGCAGCCUCCUGGGAUAAUAUCGACGCCAUGCACGAAAGUGUAGAGCAAAACAGAUUUAUAGAUGUUCUGGGGUCCACGUCCCAAACGAUGUCAACUAGCUGUUAGCCUUCACGGUAGCGUACUAAUCGCGAAGUUUGAAUCGCCUGGGAGUACGGCCGCAAGAUUAAAACUCAAAGGAAUUGACGGGGACCCGCACAAGCGGUGGAUGAUGUGGAUGGACUGAUGCAACGAAAACCUGCACAAUUUUACCCCUGAUAGCACCAACCUGAAGAUUGGGAGUGUACCGGUAAGAGAACCGGAACGACAGGUGCUGCAUGGCUGUACGCUCGUCGUACGUGAGAUGUUGGGUUAAGUCCUGCAACGAGCGCAACCUGUCAGAUAGUUGUUACGAAAGGGCACUCUAAUGAGACUGCCGGUGACAAACCGAGGAGCAGGUGGGGAUGACGUCAGUCCUCAAGGUCCUUAUGGGUAGGCUUCACACGUCAUGGUAAUGAAAGUCGGGAUAGAGGGUCGCCAACCCGCGAGGGGAGCCAACCCAAACCCGAUCGUAGGGUCCGGACUGUGUCAAACCCCGACUGCGUGAAGUCGGAAUCGCUAGCGGACCGCGGAUCACAUGGCCGCGUGAAUACGUUCCCGGGUCUUGUACACACCGCCCGUCACACCAUGGUGGGUUCAGAAGCAGUUAGUCAACUGUAAGGAGGGGGUGAUUACCAUGUAGGAUUCAUGACUAAAGAAGUCGUAACAAGGUAGCCUGCUACGGAAGGCACAUGACCGAACGAAGUACACC
Molecule: ribosomal RNA, 1495 nt
Filed under: uncultured Bordetella sp.
Lineage: Bacteria; Pseudomonadati; Pseudomonadota; Betaproteobacteria; Burkholderiales; Alcaligenaceae
Description: partial 16S-23S ribosomal RNA intergenic spacer
Rfam family: Bacterial small subunit ribosomal RNA
Source: RNAcentral